AUUGAACGCUGGCGGCAUGCCUUACACAUGCAAGUCGAACGGCAGCACGGGUGCUUGCACCUGGUGGCGAGUGGCGAACGGGUGAGUAAUACAUCGGAACAUGUCCUGUAGUGGGGGAUAGCCCGGCGAAAGCCGGAUUAAUACCGCAUACGAUCUACGUAUGAAAGCGGGGGACCUUCGGGCCUCGCGCUAUAGGGUUGGCCGAUGGCUGAUUAGCUAGUUGGUGGGGUAAAGGCCUACCAAGGCGACGAUCAGUAGCUGGUCUGAGAGGACGACCAGCCACACUGGGACUGAGACACGGUCCAGACUCCUACGGGAGGCAGCAGUGGGGAAUUUUCGACAAUGGGCGAAAGCCUGAUCCAGCAAUGCCGCGUGUGUGAAGAAGGCCUUCGGGUUGUAAAGCACUUUUGUCAGGAAAGAAAUACUUGGCAAUAAUACGGUCGGGGGAUGACGGUACCGGAAGAAUAAGCACCGGCUAACUACGUG
This 486-nucleotide ribosomal RNA is filed under the name uncultured bacterium. Its description in RNAcentral is "partial 16S ribosomal RNA". It matches the Rfam family "Bacterial small subunit ribosomal RNA", at positions 30 to 507 of the family's 1533-position model. The record is from RNAcentral.